CUCACAGUCUGCUCUUCCAAAGGAGGGUACAGAUCGCCAUCCACAGUGCAAACAAGCAUCUGUAAUCCCCAUAUAAACACAAAGGUUGCAUAUUGCGAUGCAGGAAGAAAAGGAUGUGAAAGCUUUGCUGGAAAAUGAACGGUGGCUGCCGAAGGGAUUCACAGGCACAGGCAAAAUGCAAACAUCAAGCUGAUGCAGGGGAUUCUGAACUACUAAUAUGACAAUACAGAAACUGGCCAUGUCAUACUGGGCAUCAACCCAUCAACGUGUACACAGGGUUUCUCAGAGAGAGGAGCAAGCAAAGAAGCUGCUGAGGCAGGCGAGAGGAACAGCCCAUACCUGGCAGAUAUCUGCUGUCUUAUAGAAGGUUUUCUUAUCGAUGGUCUUUAAGCUCUCGAUGAUGCAGGGCAGGUCCACCAGCUUGGCUGCCAGAGGCACUCGAUCCACACGAACGAUCCCAUGGCGCCCAUCGGCUGUGGAAAGCCACGGGACAGGUUCUGCAGCUUCACCUGUGACCCAUCAGAGGAGCUGCAGCAUGCCUCGAUCCUUCUCACUCACCGUGCAGCUCAAUGG
Long non-coding RNA from Gallus gallus (chicken), 573 nucleotides. RefSeq lists it as uncharacterized. The record is from RefSeq and is a predicted model, not a curated record. Lineage: Eukaryota; Metazoa; Chordata; Aves; Galliformes; Phasianidae. The transcript is spliced from 2 exons.